This 433-nucleotide ribosomal RNA is filed under the name uncultured bacterium. RNAcentral describes it as "partial 16S ribosomal RNA". It matches the Rfam family "Bacterial small subunit ribosomal RNA", at positions 29 to 507 of the family's 1533-position model. The record is from RNAcentral.
AACGAACGCUGGCGGCAGGCUUAACACAUGCUAGUCGAGCGAGACCUUCGGGUCUAGCGGCUGACGGGUGAGUAACGCGUUGGAACGUUCCCUUCUCUACGGAAUAGCCCCGGGAAACUGGGAGUAAUACCGUAUUCGCCCUUUUUGGGAAAGAUUUAUCGGAGAAGGAUCGGCCCGCGUUGGAUUAGGUAGUUGGUGGGGUAAUGGCCCACCAAGCCGACGAUCCAUAGCUGGUUUGAGAGGAUGAUCAGCCACACUGGGACUGAGACACGGCCCAGACUCCUACGGGAGGCAGCAGUGGGGAAUCUUAGACAAUGGGGGCAACCCUGAUCUAGCCAUGCCGCGUGAGUGAUGAAGGCCUUAGGGUUGUAAAGCUCUUUCAGCUGGGAAGAUAAUGACGGUACCAGCAGAAGAAGCCCCGGCUAACUCCGUG